AACGAACGCUGGCGGCAGGCUUAAUACAUGCAAGUCGAACGCUCUCUUCGGAGAGAGUGGCAGACGGGUGAGUAACACGUGGGAACGUACCCUUCGGUUCGGAACAACACAGAGAAAUUUGUGCUAAUACCGGAUACGUCCGUAAGGAGAAAGAUUUAUCGCCGAAGGAUCGGCCCGCGUUAGAUUAGGUAGUUGGUGGGGUAAUGGCCUACCAAGCCGACGAUCUAUAGCUGGUCUGAGAGGAUGAUCAGCCACACUGGGACUGAGACACGGCCCAGACUCCUACGGGAGGCAGCAGUAGGGAAUAUUGGACAAUGGGCGAAAGCCUGAUCCAGCCAUGCCGCGUGAGUGAUGAAGGCCUUAGGGUUGUAAAGCUCUUUCAACGGUGAAGAUAAUGACGGUAACCGUAGAAGAAGCCCCGGCUAACUUCG
This 431-nucleotide ribosomal RNA is filed under the name uncultured Hyphomicrobiales bacterium. Its description in RNAcentral is "bacterial SSU rRNA". It matches the Rfam family "Bacterial small subunit ribosomal RNA", at positions 29 to 505 of the family's 1533-position model. The record is from RNAcentral. Lineage: Bacteria; Pseudomonadati; Pseudomonadota; Alphaproteobacteria; Hyphomicrobiales.